AUUUUAAAGCUAAUUUAUUAAGCCAAAGUAGGAAUUUUUAAUAAUUUUACUAGCCACAAAAAUAUAUGAAGCCAAUCCACAGAAAAGGGACUGAAAGAGGGAACAACUCUUGAGAGCCUUCCUGGGAAGCCUUUGGGGUCGCUCCAUUCCGUGCUGUGGAUCAUUCCGGGAUUCCGUUCCUGCUGGCCGUUUCGCAGGUGUGUUUUUGUCUCAGACUCCAGUAGACCUAAGCAACAAACGGCCCAGUUAGUGCAGAGAACGGAGACAAGGGAGGAGCGGUGAGCACGGCGCCCGCGGUGAGGCUUGCACUGUGGGGCGUGAGCCGGUGGAAAUUCAACUAGGGAAUAGACUGCAAAAGGUCUUGGGGCAGCCAAGAGUCGGUGAGUGGUUCCUGAAUGGCCAGUUUCUCUUCCUGUCCCCAUUCCUACGUCUGAAGUUCCAGUUCUUGCAUAAAGCUCCAUGAAGACAGAAAGACGGUAACUACGAUGACUGCUCUUCACUGGAUCCUCAGCCCCUUCCACAGAGCCUGUAACGGGACAAGGAUCUACUAAGUCUUUGUUUUUGAAUCAUUUGCUUGUGGGGGAAGCCAGCUGCCAUGUUGUGAAGACAUUCAAGCAGCCUUUAUGAAGUGGUUCACAUGGCAGAGAACUGAGGGCUCCUGCCGGCAGCCAGCGUCAACUUUCUGGCCAUGUGGCUGAGCCAUCUUGGAAGCAGAUCCUUCAGCCUGGUGAGGCUUUGGGAGGACUCCAGCCCUGGCCAACAGCUUGACUGCAACUGUAUGAGAGACCCCAAGACAGAACCACCCAGCUAAGCUGCUCCCGAAUACAUGACCCACAUAAAUUGUAUGAGAUGAUAAAUGCUUGUUGUUGUUUUAAACCACUAAGUUUUGGGGUAAUUUGUUAUGCAGCAAUAGAUAACUAAUACAGCUCCCAAAGUUCCUAUAACUGAGUUUCUCGGGAUAAGGUCACAUGGCAGGGGUCAGGCUGGAAAACUUCCCAAAGUGCCAGACCAUCAGGUCAUGAUGACUGACUGGUGCUGUAUCCUCCUCCCGGCUUCAAGGACUCUGAAAACGGAAGUUUCUUAGGCGGCCACAGGGCCAAUGGCCAGGUGUCUUCAGGAGUACAUUACAGCAAACACAAGAGGUGCAGAAAGCAAGAAUUUUCUCCAGAUCUUAGAAAAAUGGGCUUUUGUGUUUGAGCUCAUCAAAGCCUGACACCUUCUCCAACCCAGUUUGCAAACUGUUUUGAGGCCCAUACUAGGCUUAUUUUUGCCUUCCUACUUGCCUGUGUCUGAGGGAUGCUUUGAGGUCAGAUCAUCUUUUUUCAUCCCCAUGGAUAAGACACAAACACCCGCAAAGCUGACUCACAAAAGGAGACUGACCAGUGCAUUGUGGGAGCUGGAGGCAGGAUCCUAAGACCACAAGAUUUUUCACACCCAAGUUUUGUAUUUGAAAUUCAAGAAUGGGACACAUUAAGUUAUAACGGAAUGAGCAUGGUUUUUGCGCUGUAUAA
RNAcentral lists this long non-coding RNA (1511 nucleotides) under Equus caballus (horse). RNAcentral's name for it is "lncRNA (ENSECAG00000048284.1)". The record is from RNAcentral. Lineage: Eukaryota; Metazoa; Chordata; Mammalia; Perissodactyla; Equidae.